GGGGCCAUGGCAUCCCCACUGAUCCGAGGUCACAUUUCAGAAGUUGGGUGUUUAACGGCUGUGGACGCGCCGCGCUCCCGAUGCGAGUGUGCAAACUACUGCGCAGGAGAGGCUGCGGCGAGACCGCCACUGUAUUUCGGAGACGGCCACCCGCUAAGGGAGGGCCGAUCCCCAACGCCGACCCCCCGGAGGGGUUCGAGGGUUGAAAUGACGCUCGGACAGGCAUGCCCGCCAGAAUACUGGCGGGCGCAAUGUGCGUUCAAAGAUUCGAUGAUUCACUGAAUUCUGCAAUUCACAUUACUUAUCGCAUUUCGCUGCGUUCUUCAUCGAUGCCAGAACCAAGAGAUCCGUUGUUGAAAGUUUUGAUUCAUUUUCGAAACGCCUACGAGAGGCGCCGAGAAGGCUCAGAUUAUAAAAAAACCCGCGAGGGGGUAUACAAUAAGAGUUUUGGUUGGUCCUCCGGCGGGCGCCUUGGUCCGGGGCUGCGACGCACCCGGGGCAGAGAUCCCGCCGAGGCAACAGUUUGGUAACGUUCACAUUGGGUUUGGGAGUUGUAAACUCGGUAAUGAUCCCUCCGCUGGUUCACCAACGGAGACCUUGUUACAUUUUUUACCUUCCAAAAAAGCUAUUAGUCUCCUU
Molecule: unclassified non-coding RNA, 639 nt
Filed under: Trichoderma harzianum
Lineage: Eukaryota; Fungi; Ascomycota; Sordariomycetes; Hypocreales; Hypocreaceae
Description: sequence contains 18S rRNA gene, ITS1, 5.8S rRNA gene, ITS2, 28S rRNA gene
Source: RNAcentral